This 434-nucleotide ribosomal RNA is filed under the name uncultured bacterium. Its description in RNAcentral is "bacterial SSU rRNA". It matches the Rfam family "Bacterial small subunit ribosomal RNA", at positions 958 to 1392 of the family's 1533-position model. The record is from RNAcentral.
AACGCGAAGAACCUUACCUACUCUUGACAUCCAGAGAACUUUCCAGAGAUGGAUUGGUGCCUUCGGGAACUGUGAGACAGGUGCUGCAUGGCUGUCGUCAGCUCGUGUUGUGAAAUGUUGGGUUAAGUCCCGCAACGAGCGCAACCCUUAUCCUUUGUUGCCAGCGGUCCGGCCGGGAACUCAAAGGAGACUGCCAGUGAUAAACUGGAGGAAGGUGGGGAUGACGUCAAGUCAUCAUGGCCCUUACGACCAGGGCUACACACGUGCUACAAUGGCGCAUACAAAGAGAAGCAAUCUCGCGAGAGCUAGCGGACCUCAUAAAGUGCGUCGUAGUCCGGAUUGGAGUCUGCAACUCGACUCCAUGAAGUCGGAAUCGCUAGUAAUCGUGAAUCAGAAUGUCACGGUGAAUACGUUCCCGGGCCUUGUACACACCG